This is a long non-coding RNA of Camponotus floridanus (Florida carpenter ant), 803 nucleotides long. RefSeq lists it as uncharacterized. The record is from RefSeq and is a predicted model, not a curated record. The transcript has 3 exons. NCBI's taxonomy places the organism in Eukaryota, Metazoa, Arthropoda, Insecta, Hymenoptera, Formicidae.
CAAACACGAAAGCUCGAGAAGUGCCCGCGCAAUCUCGGACAGGCAUUCACAGAUUGCGUUCUUGACUGAGCUUCUCGUAUACAGACUAGCACAGAACAAUUAUGCGUCAUAUAGGCAUCUCUAAACAAAUCGCAGAUCCGAAAAUAUCCUUAAUUUUAUGGAAUUCAUAUUUGAAGAUAUAGAAAAGGAAAAUUUCUCUUGUAAUUUUUAUUAUUUUAUCACAAUUUUUCAAUUAUGAAAGAAAAGAUCUUUUGCCAUCAAUAUCGCGGCAAGAGCGAACCUCUGCCUGUGCCAGCAAAAAUCGAAAGAUUCUUCGCCGUUGCAAUUUUCUUCGUAGUAGGAGGUUUACGCGAUGUCCAAUAAGAAAUAAUAAGCCGCGAGUUUAUUUCUUCCCGAAGGACGGACAGAGAGAAAGAAGCCGAUUGAAACCACCCAUCUCCCAUCGGCCUUUUGAAAGAACGCGGACUAUUGCAGGAUACAAUUUCCUCGCAGGAAAUUACGUCUACAAGUCAGGAGAGCGCUUCGCGCUAUUUUCUACGCGCUUUAAAGCACAUGCGAGAGAUCGAUAUUCAUUGUCGUCAUCGCGUUGCUGAUAUAAACGACGGUGUUAAAUGCGAGAAAAAAGAUGUCAGUAUUGAAAAAGUUACUUUAUAAAAAACAAACCGUUACUCAAAAAUGAAAUAGAGUUUUUAAACAAAUAGUAAAAACUAUAAAUUUUUAUUAUUUGUUAAAAACUGUUAUAAAACCGAGUUACAUAUCAAAUGCACACACAUUUACAUACACGUAUACACACAUAUAAACGA